RNAcentral lists this long non-coding RNA (284 nucleotides) under Homo sapiens (human). RNAcentral describes it as "non-protein coding lnc-ALPP-3:1". The record is from RNAcentral. Lineage: Eukaryota; Metazoa; Chordata; Mammalia; Primates; Hominidae.
CAGGAAGAGCCUGGACAGCAGGUGUGCACGUGGCUGCUUUCGUGUUCUACAGUAACACCAGCUGUGGUUUGAAGGGGCCACUUUCAAAGUCAGUUAGAAAUGUGGGAACUGUUUAAAAGUUUUCUCCUAGCAACUUGCUCUUAUACUAGAAAUGCUAAAAACAAAUUAGAAAUUAUUUAAUUGCUCCUUGAAUCGUGACCUCCUGGGGUAAAGGAAAUCUGCCAGAGUAGAUGGAGAUGAGGGCAACACCCAGGGAGGGAAUCCCAACAGGUUUCUUAUCUGCU